RNAcentral lists this ribosomal RNA (95 nucleotides) under Aeromonas taiwanensis. Its description in RNAcentral is "partial 16S ribosomal RNA". It matches the Rfam family "Bacterial small subunit ribosomal RNA", at positions 1 to 89 of the family's 1533-position model. The record is from RNAcentral. Lineage: Bacteria; Pseudomonadati; Pseudomonadota; Gammaproteobacteria; Aeromonadales; Aeromonadaceae.
UUAAAUUGAAGAGUUUGAUCAUGGCUCAGAUUGAACGCUGGCGGCAGGCCUAACACAUGCAAGUCGAGCGGCAGCGGGAAAGUAGCUUGCUACUU